This 468-nucleotide ribosomal RNA is filed under the name uncultured bacterium. Its description in RNAcentral is "partial 16S ribosomal RNA". It matches the Rfam family "Bacterial small subunit ribosomal RNA", at positions 28 to 507 of the family's 1533-position model. The record is from RNAcentral.
GACGAACGCUGGCGGCGUGCUUAACACAUGCAAGUCGAACGGAAAGGCCCUGCUUUUGUGGGGUGCUCGAGUGGCGAACGGGUGAGUAACACGUGAGUGACCUGCCCUUGACUUUGGGAUAACUUCAGGAAACUGGGGCUAAUACCGGAUAGGAGCUCCUGCUGCAUGGUGGGGGUUGGAAAGUUUCGGCGGUUGGGGAUGGACUCGCGGCUUAUCAGCUUGUUGGUGGGGUAGUGGCUUACCAAGGCUUUGACGGGUAGCCGGCCUGAGAGGGUGACCGGCCACAUUGGGACUGAGAUACGGCCCAGCCCCCUACGGGAGGCAGCAGUGGGGAAUAUUGCACAAUGGGCGGAAGCCUGAUGCAGCAACGCCGCGUGCGGGAUGACGGCCUUCGGGUUGUAAACCGCUUUCGCCUGUGAGGAAGCGUGAGUGACGGUAAUGGGUAAAGAAGCACCGGCUAACUACGUG